Molecule: ribosomal RNA, 440 nt
Filed under: uncultured bacterium
Lineage: Bacteria
Description: partial 16S ribosomal RNA
Rfam family: Bacterial small subunit ribosomal RNA
Source: RNAcentral
CCUACGAGAGGCAGCAGUAGGGAAUAUUGCUCAAUGGGGGAAACCCUGAAGCAGCAACGCCGCGUGGAGGAUGAAGGUUUUAGGAUUGUAAACUCCUUUUGUUAGAGAAGAUUAUGACGGUAUCUAACGAAUAAGCACCGGCUAACUCCGUGCCAGCAGCCGCGGUAAUACGGAGGGUGCAAGCGUUACUCGGAAUCACUGGGCGUAAAGAGUGCGUAGGCGGGGUAAUAAGUCAGAUGUGAAAUCCUGUGGCUUAACUACAGAACUGCAUUUGAAACUGUUACUCUGGAGUGUGGGAGAGGUAGGUGGAAUUCUUGGUGUAGGGGUAAAAUCCGUAGAGAUCAAGAGGAAUACUCAUUGCGAAGGCGACCUGCUGGAACAUUACUGACGCUGAUGCACGAAAGCGUGGGGAGCAAACAGGAUUAGAUACCCCUGUAGUC